UGGUGGUGAAUGAUGAGAUGGUAGUUGUGUUGGUGGUGUAUGAUGAGAUGGUAGUUGUAUUGGUAGUGUAUAAUUGGUCUUAGUUGUGUUGGUGGUGUAUGAUGAGAUGGUAGUUGUGAUGGUUGUGUAUGAUUGGUCUUAGUUGUGUUGGUGGUGUAUGAUGAGAUGGUAGUUGUGUUGGUGGUGUAUAAUUGGUCUUAGUUGUGUUUGUUGGUGUAUGAUGAGAUAGUAGCUGUGUUGGUAGUGUAUAAUUGGUAUUAGUUAUGUUGGUGGUGUAUAAUUGGUCUUAGUUGUGUUGGUGGUGUAUGAUGAGAUGGUAGUUGUGUUGGUGGUGUAUAAUGAGAUGGUAGUUGUGUUGGUAGUGUAUAAUUGAUCUUAGUUGUGUUGUUGGUGUAUAUGAUUAGAUGGUAGUUGUGUUGGUGGUGUAUGAUGAGAUGGUAGUUGUGUUGGUGGUGUAUGAUGAGAUGGUAGUUGUGUUAGUAGUGUAUAAUUGGUCUUAGUUGUGUUGGUGGUGUAUGAUGAGAUGGUAGUUGUGUUGGUAGUGUGUAAUUGGUAUUAGUUGUGUUGGUGGUGUAUAAUUGGUCUUAGUUGUGUUGGUGGUGUAUGAUGAGAUGGUAGUUGUGAUGGUAGUGUAUAAUUGGUCUUAGUUGUGUUGUGGUGUAUGAUGAGAUGGUAGUUGUGUUGGUGGUGUAUAAUUGGUCUUAGUUGUGUUGGUGGUGUAUGAUGAGAUAGUAGUUGUGUUGGUAGUGUAUAAUUGGUCUUAGUUGUGUUGGUGGUGUAUGAUGAGAUGGUAGUUGUGUUGGUAGUGUAUAA
RNAcentral lists this long non-coding RNA (813 nucleotides) under Mytilus galloprovincialis (Mediterranean mussel). The record is from RNAcentral. Lineage: Eukaryota; Metazoa; Mollusca; Bivalvia; Mytilida; Mytilidae.